AACGAACGCUGGCGGCAUGCCUAACACAUGCAAGUCGAACGGGAUCCUGGUUUCGGCCAGGUGAGAGUGGCGGACGGGUGAGUAACGCGUGGGAACCUGCCCAGUGGUGGGGGAGUAACUGCGGGAAACUGCAGCUAAUACCGCAUGAGCCCGAAAGGGAAAGAUUGAUCGCCAUUGGAGGGGCCCGCGUUCGAUUAGGUAGUUGGUGAGGUAACGGCUCACCAAGCCUUCGAUCGAUAGCUGGUCUGAGAGGAUGAUCAGCCACACUGGGACUGAGAUACGGCCCAGACUCCUACGGGAGGCAGCAGUGGGGAAUAUUGGACAAUGGGGGCGAGCCCUGAUCCAGCAAUGCCGCGUGAGUGAUGAAGGCCUUC
This 374-nucleotide ribosomal RNA is filed under the name uncultured bacterium. RNAcentral's name for it is "bacterial SSU rRNA". It matches the Rfam family "Bacterial small subunit ribosomal RNA", at positions 29 to 419 of the family's 1533-position model. The record is from RNAcentral.